Molecule: small RNA, 114 nt
Filed under: Pseudomonas jinjuensis
Lineage: Bacteria; Pseudomonadati; Pseudomonadota; Gammaproteobacteria; Pseudomonadales; Pseudomonadaceae
Description: Pseudomon-1/ErsA RNA
Rfam family: Pseudomon-1/ErsA RNA
About the family: Functions to regulate the AlgC enzyme. Based on this information, the new name ErsA for the RNA was adopted.
Source: Rfam by way of RNAcentral
AUGCUCCUUGCAGUGUUUAGUGUUGGCAGAUUACUGGACCCCGCCCUAGCGGUCCGGAUUAAACCCCGAACUUCUCCCUCCCCAUACGAAGCUCGGGGUUUUUUUUGCCUGCGA